This 492-nucleotide ribosomal RNA is filed under the name uncultured bacterium. Its description in RNAcentral is "partial 16S ribosomal RNA". It matches the Rfam family "Bacterial small subunit ribosomal RNA", at positions 29 to 507 of the family's 1533-position model. The record is from RNAcentral.
AGUGAACGCUGGCGGUAGGCCUAACACAUGCAAGUCGAACGGCAGCACAGUAAGAGCUUGCUCUUACGGGUGGCGAGUGGCGGACGGGUGAGGAAUACAUCGGAAUCUACUUUUUCGUGGGGGAUAACGUAGGGAAACUUACGCUAAUACCGCAUACGACCUACGUGUGAAAGCAGGGGAUCUUCGGACCUUGCGCGAUUGAAUGAGCCGAUGUCGGAUUAGCUAGUUGGCGGGGGAAAGGCCCACCAAGGCGACGAUCCGUAGCUGGUCUGAGAGGAUGAUCAGCCCCAGUGGAACGGAGCCACGGUCCAGACUCCUACGGGAGGCAGCAGUGGGGAAUAUUGGACAAUGGGAGCAAGCCUGAUCCAGCCAUACCGCGUGGGUGAAGAAGGCAUUCGGGUUGUAAAGCCCUUUUGUUGGGAAAGAAAAGCAGCAGGUUAAUACCCCGCUGUUCUGACGGUACCCAAAGAAUAAGCACCGGCUAACUUCGUG